RNAcentral lists this ribosomal RNA (429 nucleotides) under Chloroflexota bacterium. RNAcentral describes it as "Chloroflexi bacterium partial 16S ribosomal RNA". It matches the Rfam family "Bacterial small subunit ribosomal RNA", at positions 355 to 776 of the family's 1533-position model. RNAcentral also lists the same sequence under 1 other name. The record is from RNAcentral. Lineage: Bacteria; Bacillati; Chloroflexota.
UAGGGAAUCUUCGGCAAUGGACGAAAGUCUGACCGAGCAACGCCGCGUGAGUGAAGAAGGUUUUCGGAUCGUAAAACUCUGUUGUUAGAGAAGAACAAGGACGUUAGUAACUGAACGUCCCCUGACGGUAUCUAACCAGAAAGCCACGGCUAACUACGUGCCAGCAGCCGCGGUAAUACGUAGGUGGCAAGCGUUGUCCGGAUUUAUUGGGCGUAAAGCGAGCGCAGGCGGUUUCUUAAGUCUGAUGUGAAAGCCCCCGGCUCAACCGGGGAGGGUCAUUGGAAACUGGGAGACUUGAGUGCAGAAGAGGAGAGUGGAAUUCCAUGUGUAGCGGUGAAAUGCGUAGAUAUAUGGAGAAACACCAGUGGCGAAGGCGGCUCUCUGGUCUGUAACUGACGCUGAGGCUCGAAAGCGUGGGGAGCAAACAGG